UGCAAGUCGACUUGCUUUUGAUUAGCAAUAGUCAAAAGAGAGUGGCGCACGGGUGAGUAACACGUAGAUAAUCUACCCUCAGGACUGACAUAAUGUAGAGAAAUCUGCACUAAUAUCAGAUGAACAAAAUCCUGGCAUCAGAGAUUUUGUCAAAGUUUUAACGCCUGAAGAUGAGUCUGCGGUCCAUUAGGUAGUUGGCGGUUUAACAGACCACCAAGCCGACGAUGGAUAGCUGGUCUGAGAGGAUGAUCAGCCACACUGGAACUGAGACACGGUCCAGACUCCUACGGGAGGCAGCAGUAAGGAAUAUUGCUCAAUGGGAGAAAUCCUGAAGCAGCAACGCCGCGUGGAGGAUGAAGGGCUUUCAGCUUGUAAACUCCUGUAAAGAAGGAAAAAAUUCCCAUUAGAUGGGAGAUGAUGGUACUUCUAAAGUAAGCCCCGGCUAACUACGUG
Molecule: ribosomal RNA, 453 nt
Filed under: uncultured bacterium
Lineage: Bacteria
Description: bacterial SSU rRNA
Rfam family: Bacterial small subunit ribosomal RNA
Source: RNAcentral